CUCAACUGACUGAGCUACCCAUGUGUCUUGGUUAGGAACUUUACUAAAUAACUUUUGUGAUUUGAGAAAUGGGUCUUACUUUACUUAUUGUAAGUUCUGAGAAAUUAGCAAUGACAGUCACUUCUCCUAACAGUCCUCCCAUCCUAACCAAGCUACACCAGCCUGUGGUUUCUCAGUAGGAAUGAAGUACCAUUAUAACAGAAGCUGUGUGUACAAAACUAGAAACCAAUCCUCUCCUGCCACUAAUCAAACCAACUCUUCCCCCUUGAACUUUCUAAUUGACUCUUGGUUUUGGAUAAUGGAAUUAUAGAAAGGUAAGUCUUCUGGAAUUGUGGUGUGGGCAUCAGCAGAGAGGAAAAUUCUAUGAACUGUGGGGACCUUGCUGUGUACAUUCUCACUGCUUCCAUUGCAAUCCAGGCUUGGGAUGGACAAAAGAAAUCUAGUAGGAUAGUCUUUCUUAGCUGUGCUCUACAGAGCCCUGGGUGUUCUGAGGAAAUGGGAGAGGAGAGGCACACAGGUAGGAAAGUCUCUGCAUAUCCCCCACUUUCUCAUGCCCUUUUAAGUAGAGUAUCUCCACUUUGGAGCUGUUGAACUUUCCAAAAGAAGACCAUCUCAGUUGGCUUGUGGUUGAGAUACUGAUUUUUUUUUAAGUUUUUUUUUUAUUGUGAGAGAGACAAAGACAGUGUAAAUGGGGGAGGGCAGAGAAAGAGGGAGGGAGAGAAUCCCUAGCUGCCAGCACAGAGCCCAAUGUGGGGCUUGAACUCAUGAAACUAGGGGAUCAUAACCUGAGCCAAAAUCAAGAGUCAGAAACUUAACCAACUGAGCCACCCAGGUGCCCCAAGAUACUGAUUUAAUCAAGGUCUGCCUCCUGCUACUCAAAUGAUUUUCCUGUUUUCAUAUUACUUGUUUCAUCAAAUGUCAACUCCUUUGGUGACUUUCAUAGUCUUUCUACUGCCCUUCCACGCCUUCCACAAACUUCCUCCACUCCAAUUAAACUCAUCUCCUAUUACCUCAUAGUUCUCUUAUUCCCUCCUCUGUAAGUUUAGUCAAUAUCUCCCCUUGGACACAGUACCGAGGAAAGAGAUAGAAAUGUCAAGUCUUUCCACAAAAGAGGACUAUUUGCUUAUCUUAGUACCUGCAGCCUAAGGAAGGCUUCUAAUUUAACACACAAGGGGCUGACUGCAAUGCUCUCCAGAGAUAUGAAAGGCUGGUAGGCAUCAUAUUCACACUUGCCCUCUGCCUCACUCCAGGUUGCUAUCUCUCAGAAAGGAGGCUUGUGCAUGUUUAGUGCCCUGGUUUGUGGAUGCUCCCCAGAAAAUACCCCAUAUGUUCAUGGGUCCCAUAGGGCUGCAACAAAUAGUGCUUAGCCAGCUGCCCCCUCCCCUGCCAUGUCACAAUACAGAAGCAGAAUACUGAGAUGUCAUCUUUCUGUCAAAGAGACUAAUUCAUAUAUCUUAGUAGCUGUCACUAAGAAGCUGGCUUCUAAUUUAACAUACAUCAAGGGGCUGACUGCAAUACUCAGAGACUGGGCAGGCUAUCUUCCCCACUCCAGUUUGCCAGUACUUCCAAGAAAGGAGUUUGUACACAGGUCUGGUGUCCUGGAUUUUGUAGCUGCUGCCCAGAGGACACAUCCCUUGAUAGCCGGGCUCUGGUGACCAGCAGGGCUUGUGUUCGCAGGCCCAAUGGUAUGGCACAAAGAAACAGUUGUUAAAUGGCUAUCACCCCAAGGCUCAGCAGAAAUAAAACAGAAAUGGCCAUCUCCUAGUCUUCGCCUAGAAGAGGCAUAUAUGCAUAUUUUAAAAGCUCCUACCUGAGGAUCCAGAUUCCAAUCAGCCUGCAUCUAGGUACUGAGAUCUGCCCCUUUUGGAUACCAAUAGGCUACGACACCCUAAACUAUUGGGAGCCACUACGAACAAAGAAGAGGGCUUGGACAAUGACAAAGGUUUUAGAAACAACCAAGAGCUAGAGCAUUGUUGAACAAUAAGGAUCAUGUCCUACAUGAGACCACUCAUUCAAGACUGGGAGAGGUAGCUGUUUUACCUAAUGCAUAGAAAUCAAUGCAGAAAAUCAAAGAAAAUGAAGAAACAGAGGAAUGGGCUUCAAACAGAAGAGCAAAAUAAAAUCUCAGAAAAAGAGGUUUAAGAAAUUUGAAGAUUCAUAGAAUUAUGCAUGUGUAGAAGUUCUAAAACUAACAGAAGUUUAAUUGCUUAAAACCAAUUUACUGAGGCGAGUCAAUUUUCUGUGUGGUAAAGGAAGCCACAAGGAAGAAAACGGAAGCCUGGAAGUGGUUGCUGAUGUUAAUGACUCCUCCCACUUGAGAAGGCAGAGCCUUUGUUAGGCUGAGGCUCACAUCUCAGCCCUGAGGCAUUGCAUCACUGUGGUAGCCAUGGUUGCGAGUGGCUCAGAUUUCCCUUCAAGAAAAGAACUUGCCAUUCAGCAGUGAGGAGGGCACUUACCUGAAAACCUCCAACUGCUGUGCCUUCGGGAUCUGCUGUAGCAUUUACACUGAGAUCACCGCUCCCCAGGCAGCCCCCGGUCAAUAACGGCCCAGUGAUUACCAGGGUCCAGCCAUUUCUGCCCAACAUGGGGCUCCUUUCCAGGCAACCUUUGUGCUGGAGACUGCUCAGAGGAGAUGGGCUGCAAUGUGAAGCUCAUAUCCCAUCCUCCUUCCUUCGCCUUUUCCUUUCAUGGAUAUCAGAUUCACAUCGUGGUCUAAAGGCUUUCUCUGCCCUGAUCCUGCUUGCUCUCCCCUUUGUCUUUCCCAGGUGUUAUGUCAGAUAAAUCUCUUAGGCUUCUCAGACUCCAUCCUGGCAUCUGGUUCCUGGAGAAGCUACCCCAAACUACAUUUUGUUUCCUUAUCUCUAAAAAUGAAGAUACUAUAUCUGUAAUUAUAUUUGUAAGGAUUAAAUAACAUCUAUACAUAGA
Molecule: long non-coding RNA, 2925 nt
Organism: Felis catus (domestic cat)
Lineage: Eukaryota; Metazoa; Chordata; Mammalia; Carnivora; Felidae
Exons: 2
Source: RefSeq, a predicted model, not a curated record